Molecule: long non-coding RNA, 396 nt
Organism: Lutra lutra (Eurasian river otter)
Lineage: Eukaryota; Metazoa; Chordata; Mammalia; Carnivora; Mustelidae
Exons: 4
Source: RefSeq, a predicted model, not a curated record
UUUUGCUCUAUAGAGAAAGUACAGUGGUCAGGUUCAGGCAUACAGGUAACUAGGUUUAAAGUUUGACAAGUUUUAAGUAUUAUUUCUGGUAUAUCUGUAAGUAUAGCCCAGUAUUUAAUAAGUCGGCCUCCAUCAUCCAUUGGUGGCCUUUGGCUUCUAAGACAAAUCUGGACCUGAUGUGAAGUCAUUACAGAGAGGUGUUCUAUGCUUCGCUAAAGCAUCCAUUUGCAAUUGCACCUCAACAGAGGUGGCUUCUAGAUAAAUAUGACUAAGGGAUGAAACCAUUAAGAAGCCCUUUGAGUGGUCCAGCCUUAACAAUCCUGAUUACAGAGGAUCACUGGCAAGUGGGAGAAAACUUGUCAAGAGAUAAGGGGAGUUCCCCAGAUGGGAAGGCUU